Long non-coding RNA from Eucalyptus grandis, 1565 nucleotides. RefSeq annotates it as probable helicase MAGATAMA 3. The transcript has 5 exons. The record is from RefSeq and is a predicted model, not a curated record. Lineage: Eukaryota; Viridiplantae; Streptophyta; Magnoliopsida; Myrtales; Myrtaceae.
UCCAUGGGUCCACUAUAUAAUUUAUAUAUGAAGAUACAGGAAUGCCUUUCCUUGUUGCUAACUGUUCGUGAUUCUCUGAAGGAUCUAAAACUUCCAAACUUUACAAGUAAGGACAUGAUAGCAGACUUCUGUUAUCAACAUGCUUCCCUGAUUUUUUGCACUGCUUCUAGUUCAUAUAAGCUGUACUCCGUGGAAAUGGAGCCUCUCAAUUUACUGGUAAUCGAUGAGGCAGCCCAGUUGAAAGAAUGUGAGUCAGUAAUUCCUCUGCGACUCCCUGGUGUCAAGCAUCUGAUUUUAGUUGGAGAUGAGUGUCAGUUGCCUGCUAUGGUUGAAAGCAAGCUUUCUAAUAGAGCUGGUUUUGGAAGGAGUCUGUUUGAACGAUUGAGUUCACUGGGUUAUUCAAGGCAACUUCUCAAUAUACAAUACCGGAUGCAUCCAUCAAUAAGUCUGUUUCCGACUUCAAAAUUUUAUCAAAACCAAAUUUUGGAUGGGCCAAAUGUGAAGAGCAAAAAGUUACAGAAAAGUCAUUUGCCAUGGCCGAUGUUUGGCCCUUACUCGUUCAUAAAUAUUCCUGAUGGACGAGAACAAAUCGGUGAUGACGGCUGUAGCCUUAGAAACCCUGUUGAGGUGGAAGUUAUCUCGAGGAUAGUGAGGAAUCUGUAUAGAGCCUGGGAUGGGUCAGAAGAACAUCUGACAGUAGGUGUCAUAUCUCCCUACGCAGCUCAGGUUGGUGCAGUUCAAGCUAAACUUGGAAAAAUGUAUGAAAAUAUCAAGGGCUUUACGGUCAAGGUGAAGUCAGUGGAUGGAUUCCAAGGUGGUGAAGAAGACAUUGUUAUAAUAUCCACCGUAAGAUCAAACUCAGGUGGGACUAUUGGGUUCUUGUCCAGUACUAAGAGAACCAAUGUUGCUCUUACCAGGGCCAGGUAUUGUCUGUGGAUUCUGGGAAAUGCAAAAACACUGAGAAAAAGCAAAUCUGUGUGGGAAGCUUUGGUUGAGAAUGCUAUGAGCCGUGGAUGUUUCUACAAUGUUGAUGAUGACAAGGACUUGGCUAAAGCCAUCUUAGAUGUGAAGAAAGAGAAUAAUGAGCUUGAUGACCUGCUUGACGGAAGCAGUGUACUUUUCAGAAAUGCUAGGUGGAAGGUUCUUUUCAGUGACAACUUCCUGAAGUCUUUCAGAAAGCUGGCAUCACUCAGGACAAAGAUGUCAAUCAUUAUGCUUCUGUCAAGACUCUCCGGUGGCUGGAGACCAAAGAAGAGAAAUGUGGAUAUAAUUUGUGAACACUCAUCUCAUAUCGUAAGACAAUUUAAAGCUGACGGUUUCUAUGUCAUAUGCACGACUGAUAUUGUAAAGGAACUGAGAUACAUCCAAAUCCUGAAGAUAUGGGAUGUAUUGCCUUUAGAGGAUGUGGUAAAAUUGGUCAAACGUUUGGACAGCAUAUUCGAGACAUAUAGUGAUGAUUUUAUUAGUCAUUGCAAUGAGAAAUGCAUUGAGGGGUAAGUCUGAUCUUUUCUUCUUAUCUUAAGAUAGGUAGCACAUCUCUUACUAAAUUAGAAAGCAUUCUUUUC